RNAcentral lists this ribosomal RNA (482 nucleotides) under uncultured bacterium. Its description in RNAcentral is "partial 16S ribosomal RNA". It matches the Rfam family "Bacterial small subunit ribosomal RNA", at positions 30 to 507 of the family's 1533-position model. The record is from RNAcentral.
AUUGAACGCUGGCGGCAUGCUUUACACAUGCAAGUCGAACGGUAACAGGUCUUCGGAUGCUGACGAGUGGCGAACGGGUGAGUAAUACAUCGGAACGUGCCUAGUAGUGGGGGAUAACUACUCGAAAGAGUAGCUAAUACCGCAUGAGAUCUACGGAUGAAAGCAGGGGACCUUCGGGCCUUGUGCUACUAGAGCGGCUGAUGGCAGAUUAGGUAGUUGGUGGGGUAAAGGCUUACCAAGCCUGCGAUCUGUAGCUGGUCUGAGAGGACGACCAGCCACACUGGGACUGAGACACGGCCCAGACUCCUACGGGAGGCAGCAGUGGGGAAUUUUGGACAAUGGGCGAAAGCCUGAUCCAGCAAUGCCGCGUGCAGGAUGAAGGCCCUCGGGUUGUAAACUGCUUUUGUACGGAACGAAAAGCCUGGGGCUAAUAUCCCCGGGUCAUGACGGUACCGGAAGAAUAAGCACCGGCUAACUACGUG